RNAcentral lists this ribosomal RNA (586 nucleotides) under uncultured bacterium. RNAcentral's name for it is "bacterial SSU rRNA". It matches the Rfam family "Bacterial small subunit ribosomal RNA", at positions 337 to 915 of the family's 1533-position model. The record is from RNAcentral.
UCCUACGGGAGGCAGCAGUGGGGAAUAUUGGACAAUGGGGGCAACCCUGAUCCAGCCAUGCCGCGUGUGUGAAGAAGGCCCUCGGGUUGUAAAGCACUUUCAGCGAGGAAGAACGCCUAGCGGUUAAUACCCGCUAGGAAAGACAUCACUCGCAGAAGAAGCACCGGCUAACUCCGUGCCAGCAGCCGCGGUAAUACGGAGGGUGCAAGCGUUAAUCGGAAUUACUGGGCGUAAAGCGCGCGUAGGUGGCUUGAUAAGCCGGUUGUGAAAGCCCCGGGCUCAACCUGGGAACGGCAUCCGGAACUGUCAAGCUAGAGUGCAGGAGAGGAAGGUAGAAUUCCCGGUGUAGCGGUGAAAUGCGUAGAGAUCGGGAGGAAUACCAGUGGCGAAGGCGGCCUUCUGGACUGACACUGACACUGAGGUGCGAAAGCGUGGGUAGCAAACAGGAUUAGAUACCCUGGUAGUCCACGCCGUAAACGAUGUCGACCAGCCGUUGGGUGCCUAGCGCACUUUGUGGCGAAGUUAACGCGAUAAGUCGACCGCCUGGGGAGUACGGCCGCAAGGUUAAAACUCAAAUGAAUUGACG